RNAcentral lists this unclassified non-coding RNA (9276 nucleotides) under Haliotis rubra (blacklip abalone). Its description in RNAcentral is "protein unc-119 homolog B-like, transcript variant X3". The stretch from base 5294 to 5350 matches the Rfam family "tRNA", at positions 8 to 63 of the family's 71-position model. The record is from RNAcentral. Lineage: Eukaryota; Metazoa; Mollusca; Gastropoda; Lepetellida; Haliotidae.
GUAUAUCGAUCCCAAAGUUCCUGUUGCCAGCGCCGCCAUAUUUCUCGACAGAAAGCAACGACGCCAACAGGUAUCACAAAGGUAACAAAGAAAAUCGUUCAAAACAUCUGUGACAUAUGACUUUUGUGUAGAACUUUCAAAUGUGUAUGUGCCUUCAAUCAAGACAAUGAGUACAGACACACGGACUGCUAAUUCUGGGAAGAAGAAAGGUGGUGGAUUUUUAUCGCGUCAGGCGAAAGCGAAAUCACAGACUGAAUGUGUGACAGAGGAAGAACUUUUGAAGAGGGACGUUGUGACGCCAGAUGAUGUAUUACGACUAAGUAAAACGACAGAGAAGUACCUGUGCCCACCUGAGGCCAAUGUUUAUGGAAUCGACUUUACCCGCUUCAAGCUGCGAGAUAUGGAGUCUGGCACAGUCCUGUUUGAAGUAGCUAAACCUCCCCCGCCUGAAGAUGGGGAAGAUGCUGACCUUGACCUUGAAGAUAGCGAUCCUAAUGCUGGGCGCUUUGUCAGAUACCAGUUUACACCACAGUUUCUCAAACUGAGGACAGUCGGAGCCACUGUGGAGUUUGUAGUUGGAGACAAACCAGUCAACAAGUUCCGCAUGAUUGAAAAGCACUACUUCAGAGAGAAGAUGCUCAAAUGUUUUGACUUUGAGUUUGGAUUCUGCAUCCCCCACAGCCGGAACACAGUGGAGCAUAUAUAUGAAUUCCCACUUCUCAACCAAGAAGAAAUCCAAGACAUGAUCGACCACCCUUAUGAGACCCGCUCUGACAGUUUCUACUUCGUGGAAGAGAAGCUGAUCAUGCACAAUAAAGCGGACUACGCCUACAAUGGUGGUGCCUAGUGGGGCACAUCUCAUCACAUCUCUAUUAACUGACAGUCUGGACUAGUUCUUUUGAUGGGACAGACUCAACCCUUCCUUAUUCUACAGGGAAAGUCUGCAGGAGCUGUAACCUAUCUGACAACUAAGGAUACAUGUAUAAACCUGUAUAUUGGUCACAAUAAUGUCUUGUUAAAAGGAACUGAAAUAUUUUAAGCCUGAUUUGUUCUUUAAUUAAAAGUUCUAACUUUCGCUUUGAUUGAAAUUCAAACAUGACCUAUCUCGGUUGUAGUUGUGUUGUUAUCGUGACACAGAUUGGUUUUUAUGUUACUUUGGCAUGUCAAACAGGAUUCAGUUUAGUAAUGUUUUUAUACACAUUAUAAACUAUGACAAAAAUAGUUUAAGCUGUUGUAGUUCAGGGGUGGAUAUAACUUUAAAAUUGCUAGUGUACUCCGGUACAGUGGCACAUGUAAAAUCACUUGCCCUGAUAAUUUUUCCACUAUAAAAUAAACAACAUAAUUAACGUUGGAAAGCCAACUUGACACAGGUACAGCGUGAUAUACAAAUUUGCUUGCCCGGCAGGCAAAAACACUGGACUGGGACGUCGGGCAAUGGGUUAUUUCCACCCCUGUAGUUUGUGAUCACAGCAUACUAUUACAGAAAUCCUACCUCGUGCUUAACAUGGAGUAAAGUUUUUCAUGCAGAAACAAAUAGCAAUAUUCAUACCAAAGUUUGAGUGAACAUCUUUUGUCUUUACUUGUUGGUGUUAAGCUAGAUGUAUAUUCUACUCUACACAGAGAAUGAAUAUGAUCAUGAUGAUCUUUACGAUGAUGAAUAUUGUAAAAAUCACAUGUACACAUAAAGGGAUAACAUUUUAUGAAUGGAAUCACCUGCUCAAAUUAUCAUUUACAUGGAAAAAUGUACUGAAAAUAAUCUCAGCCUUGGCUCUUAAUUCUUGCUAUCAAAGAGUAAUUUUAUUUCAUGCAUUAAUCUUAGUCCAGACUUUUAGUUUUGUUUGGUUUACAGAUUUUCACCCCCAAAUUCAGGUUGACAGCAUACUGCGGGUCAGAAAAUCGAUAAACUAGGCCCUGGUUUAGUAUCCACAUGCCUUACUAUAUAAUAUGUAAAGGUUCAUCACAGAAAUACGGUGACAUGAUCGAAAACCGGACAAUUAUGAACACGUCAAUGAAUAUAUCGUAUUUUAAAGGUCUCACAAGUUUCAAAAGCUUUUGUCCAUAUCUCUGAUGUGUGUAGGGGGCAUUUAAAUGCGCUUUCCGUGGGGAUGCAUUUGAUGGUUUUUAUCAAAUCGCCAAAGACCGAGUAAGGGGUGUGGAUACUAAACCGGGGCCUAGUUUAUCUAUGGUUGACAGGUAGAAAAAUAUAUACAAAUGGUGUAUUUUUCUUUUUUGGCAAUUUGUCAUUAUUACUUUUGUUUGGAAGUUUUUAUGAUAAAUUGUCAACAGGUUCUAAUUAAAGUAUUUUAAAUCAUUUAUUUUUUAUUGAUAGGGACAGUGAGAUUUUUGAGAUUGUAUUCAUUUCUUGUUGAUGGAAUAAUAAGCCCAUUGCUCUUCUUUUCUUUUAACACUUCUGUGAUUUCUAAUUCAGGUUUUACAAAAAAAGGUUUGGCCGUGUAUGUCUCACAAUCCUUGUGACAGCUGUUCUCUGAUCUCAUCUAAAACCAUCCCUGUACACAUUUAUAGAUUCCAGUUGUUUUACAUGUAUUCUAGCAACGGACAUCCGUUAUUUAAUUCCGUUGAUCUGAACAAAUGUGAAAUGUUCGCUGGAUAAUUUAAUUCCUUGUUUAAUGUGGAUAUUUUCACCAGUGGUUGGGGAUAUAAUAGAAUUUAUUUUGUGACGGUAUUUUCGAGUGACAGUAGUCUCAGAAUGUGAGUAUUUAUUGGCACAUUGUUGUAUAUUUCUGAUUGCAUGCAUUAUAUUUAUGUUUGCUGUCCUUUGUCUCAGUAUUACUGUCUCCACACACGGCCUUGUCACAGAUCUCUCCUUGCUUGCAAACCAUAAGUUGCUGACAGGUCUCGAGGUUACGAAAACCCAUGUUCUCUGAGGGGCUUGGGGACAACUAAUGUAUCUUACCACACACUGAAUGGAUGUAGGUCUCGCAUUCAUACUGUGGUCGGAAUCUGUAAGAAUACCACAGACUUUUAAUCUGUUCAUUAGCAGAUGGCAGAAAACUAACUUAUACCCACUAGAUCUAUUUCAUUUUGAAAAUUUUGCAAAUGUCCUGAGAAUGACGUCUUUGACCAUUAAAUGGAGAUGUAAAACUGGUUGCAUGUAGGUAUUGUAAUGCAUUAGCUAUUACAUUUUGGUCAUUUGAUUGAGAAACAUAAAAAUGAACCUUACCGGUUAAUGAUAGGGAAAAUAACAAAAUAGUUUGAAAGCCCUUGAAUUUGGAGAAAACUUUCAUGUUCUUGUUGAUAAAAGUAUUAAAAUUCAUGACAGAUUUAGUUUGCCUUAUUUGAUAGUUUUUAAAAUAACUUGUCAGAAAACUUGUGAUGUCCAUACAAUUUCCAAGGAUUUCAGACAAAUAUUAUAGUAAACAGGAUUUUAAACAAGAUGGACAGACUAAGGCUAAUAACCCAAGGAAAAAAGCCUUGAUACGACAGUGAUGAAAAGGCCUUGAAUUUUAGUAUUCCCUGUCAUCUGACUCUUUUACUUACAUCACUGUGUGGGUCAUGGUUUCUGACCUUGGAAAACACUUACAUCUGUGUCGUGACUGGUUUCAAGGCCAGAGGUGAGGUUUGCGACAUGCCUCCAAUGCGUUCACAUUCCAUUCCUGUCAGGGUUUGUUUUGUGUGUCCUAGUUUAUUCUUCUCACUCAUUGCUAGUCCGAAACGAUUCACAAUACGAUACAUAUCACAAUGAUAUAUUCAAAAUACUAUCCAUAUCAUGAUCAGGGGUCUGUAUUCCCAUUUGCUUAAGUGCAGGUAAACAAAAAGUACUUCUCCUGGGUUACAUUUGUGUUGUUUUGUGAUGUAAUGACACCGUAGUGAUCUGCGCUAUGACUAUCACAAGUCUAAGUAUUCGAUUUCCGAUCUUCUCACCGCUACAAACAGUUUGUGAAACGGGAACCAGAAUAUAGUGUAUAGACCAGUAAAUGCAUAGGUUGAACUAUUGUGAAAUCAUCAUGCAUAUGUGAAUCGUUUCCACAUAAUUACGUUGUCACUUGUAUUCCCUUAGAAGAUGCAAAUCUGAAAUCCUCAAUUUCUUUUCCAUUUAUCUGAUGUGUUUAUUUUUUAUUGUAUUGUAUUGAAAUGAUUCCAGGAAUUAGAAAUAAUCAGUUCAGAAUUCGGUUUCAUUGUUCUGUGCUGGUGAAUGUAUUCAGCUGUGCCUGUACUAAAUACAACUGUCAUGAAAUACACACUCCGACGUGGGAGAAUCCGGAUAAAAUAUAUGUUUAAACUGUCAUCUUGUAAGUAGUGGUCAAAUGAAAUCAUUGAAUGAUUUGUCAUUCAGUUGAUAUGUUGUUAUUUGGAUAUUCACUAUAUGUACUUGCGUGCAGUAGUUGUCUCCCCUUGAUUUCUGUCCAGUUUGAUGAAAGAGUAAGCGACAGUGCAUGCCACCAUCUUGUUACAAGGAUCCCAGGCUGUGAGACAAUCGUCAACCAUUUCCAACAUCUUUCUCAGGAGUGUACAAAGACAUAGGACGCCACGAUGAUACAUGCGUUCUUAAUUUCUUACAUAACACGAUAUGGCUGAAAUAUGCCGAUUUGACUUAAGUCUUAACUCACUCUAUUGGCAUAACAAUUUUGAAUAGAGAGAACAAUAUCCAUUCUUUUGAUCUCUUGUAGGAAUGUCUUUUAAGUUUGAGUUAUUGAACAUUAAAAAUCCUAUCUACGUAUCAGCACUGGUUAUUUCUGUGUGGACACAUGGAUUUUCUCACCAAGGUUCAAGUUUCUGGCGUGUCUGAUAUUACUUCUAGGAUAACACGAGGUUCUGAACUUACUCAAGUAAUGAUUAUCAUCCUUACGGUUAUUAAUGUUAAAUGCCACAUCAGCGAAAAAGUGCAUAAUACUGCAACUGAAAGUUCACAGUGCUUGGUUAGAAUCGUCUCGCACAGUUCAUAGGUGCUUUUAAGUUUGCUCAAAUACAAGGUGCAAUGAGUGUUUUAAAAUCAAAACUGGACGUCGAUUGGAAAGAUUUCAAAUUCAGUAUAUAAUAGUGUCACAGGAACAGUGCCAAGAUUUGAUGAAGUCAACUGUUUUUCAUCUGAUUAUUGAGAAAUAUUAAGUUUGAAUCUACUAAAUAUUUUUAUCAAGUUGAGGUCAUACAAAGUACGACUAUAGACUGAGAUACUUGCUUUUGUUGAUGAGUUUGUUGUAGUAGGUUUAUGUUGUGGAAAAUGCUGUUCAGUUAUCCUUUCUUACCUAGAGAUGUUGCUGUGCCAUGCUUGUUAGACUGAAGUUGUUUCACACUGUUCAGGGACUUGCCAUCUAUUACAGGGGAGGUGGUGAGCUAGCCUAGUGGUUAAAGCAUUUGCUUGUCAUGCCAAAGACCCGGGUUUGAUUCCCGACAUGGGUACAGUGUGUAAAGUCCAUUUCUGAUAUUGCUUGAAUAUUGCUAAAACUGGGGUAAAAUGAAUACACUCACUCACUUGUCUAUUACAGGGUUGAUGGGUUAAGGUUUUUAUGCACUAAUGUAUUGAAAAUAAUGACUGACCCCCCUCAAAUAUGUGUCAAAUUUUUGGAUGACUCUCCACAUGUCGAUGUAUAUUUCUUCAUCACCCUGCCUGAGAAGAUAAUGCAAAAGCAUUUUAUUUUAUUCAUAACCCUUCCAAAAUAUGUGUAUAUUUGUUCAUGACCCUGAGAAAGAAUCAUGUAUUUGGCGAUUUCCUCUGAACCAUCCUCUAUAAUACAUGACAAGUCCCUGAACCAGAAAUAAAAGUUCUAGUACUUGAUCAUUGUAACUUUAGUUUCAGAAUUAUUGUACAGCUUGAUUUUAGUUUCACUCAAGAUGUGAAUGACAAAUUGUGCCUUUAUCCUACACACAAAGCAAUGGUUGCUCUAGUGGGGAAUUGUUUAAUAGGAAUACACGUUUCGUGCAUAUAUGAGAAGCCUGUUGAAAUGGAGAACUGCAUGAUAGUGGACAUGUUGUGCACAACACGAAACAUUUGUUCUGGAAAUCAAUGUGUUAAUCCUAAGUUAUUAAAUCUCCUGUUCAGGCAUGUAAGGGUUUAAUAUUGCUGAUGAUUAGAAAUGACAGAAAAUGUUUCAGAUAGGUUUCAGAGCUAUAGACCAAUGGAUAAUUUUGUGUCCAGAAAGGCAAUCAAAUCAAACUGAACUUGUUGACAACAGUUGGUAUUUCAAACAUGAGUAUGUUUCAGACCUGCUGUUAUUGAAGUGAAUUACCUAGACCUGUUAUUGCUGAGCAUUGUGUUGUCGUGUUUGUUGCCAUGUGGCAGACAAGACAAUUCCUCCUCAUGUUUGAAGAUGCUGAGUCAAAUAUAUUCCUUUAUGUUUCUAGGAAUUUAUGAAUUGCCACUGGACCACGGUUAUCAAAUACUAAGCCCAUGUUUCCUGACAAUGACAGUACAGUAUGAGUUACUUAAUUCAAUAACCAUUUUGUGAGUGGAGUGCAGGUGCUUUUCUUUCAUUUUGUCUGAAAGUGGUAAUUUUGACAACAUCCAGGAAGCGUAAAACUUAGCACCAAAGACGUAGUACACAUUGCAGUACAGUGUGGACAAGCAGGUUCUGUCAGGACAGAUUCACUGGAUUCUUGCUCAGCAGCUGUUCCAGUACUUCAUCCCCUUACAAUUGGGGUCAGGUGGACACAAUGUGGCACAUAUGGACAGUAUGGGUACCUGACUGGGAAAACCUGUAUUCAGUGGAGAUGCUGACUUCACGGCCCAUCCAUCAUCUUGAGAUGCUGCAGCUCCAGGAUCAGUGUGAAACUAAAACGUUGGCUGUCAUGGGUAACCAGUUAAUGAUGGAUAGCAGCUCACUCAAAUACAGAUAUCAUUUUGUCCUAGACAUUCAUCACAAGGACUUUGAUCACCUGGUGGUCAAAAGGGCAGGAUAACUUCACAAGGUCAAUGUUAGGUUUGCCCAGAUCAGUUUUGUCAUCAAACCCAUGGGUUUGCCCAAGUGUUGAAUUUAAAUGGCCAGCAUCACUUUGGGAUUAGGACCCACAUUGAUCUAGUAUGCCAUGAAUGGGCACAAUUGCUACUCAGACCUGACCUGGUUGUCUCUCAUCAUCAUUAGAACCAUGAAGCCCAUUUCUGGUGUCCCCCACCGUGAUAUUGCUGGAAUAUUGCUAAAAGCUAAAAAUAAACUCACUUACUCAUGUGAACCAAACAUGUUUCAGUUACUUCAUUCCUUGACCAGGUUUGUUGGGUAGAGUAUUGAUUAGGGUGUUUGCCUUGCACACAGAUGAUCCAUCCCUGGAUGUGUUCCACCUUUGUAAAACCGCCAUGUUGCUGAAAGCGGCUUGCAACUUGCACAAAGCACUGUCCUUGUCCUCAGUGUCCUAGACUAUCUGACCGGUCGUUGAUCAGUUCACCUCGUUCCAAAAUACUGAAGCUAUGACUAUCAAUUUCUAUUCGAUUCUUCAUGAGUGUUCAUGCUUCUAAAGCUUAUAUGAUGUUUUGGAACAUGGCCUGGAUCAUACCAAUCUCACCAAAUUCAGACUGUUUGCAUCGAAAUGAAACCUGGGUCCAGAUCAAAGAACACCUGUAAUAAAUUGCCGCAGAUUGACCCUGAGGAACUUGGAAUACCCAAUCAAAAUACAGGAUGUAUAGAUGCCACUGUGCUUGCUCAUGGAUAAAAUAUCUCUACAAUAUGGGAUUAUUUUAUUAACAUUCUUAUUUUCUCGAUUCUGUGGAGACUUAUGGGUCUGUCCUCAGAUCUUUACAGAUGUGGGGCGUGAGGUAGCCUAGUGCUUAAAGCAUUUGCUAAUCACGCCGAAGACCCAGGUUUGAUAACCAACAUGUGGAGAAUGUGUGAAGCCCAUUUCUGGAGUCCCCUGCCAUAAUAUUGGUGGAAUUUUGCUAAAAGCGGCAUAAAACUAAAAUCACUCUCACUCACACAGCUGUAUCAUGUUGAAAACUGACAAUUAUAACUCAAUACUGAAGUGUCUUUCUAGGCUAAGACUGCUUUAGGUAACAUGGCCCUGACUUGGAGGUUUGGAUAAUUCAGGAUAUAUUUACAAAGGGUAUUUAGUUUUAAGCCUCAAUGAAAAAGCUUUACACAUGAAUUGGUACACACUUUUAACUUGGAUAUGAAGUAACCAGGCUCAAGCCAUUUGUAUGCACCAUCGUAUUACAGUCGUCCGUCCAUCGCACACCUGCACUGGCCACUGACCCACUGCACAAGGAAGGAUAGCCAUCUGAAGUUUCAUCCCCUCUCGUCUUGCUCUACUGGUCAGCAAGAUGACCUUUCUACCAGUGACUAUGUUAUAUAUCUCCAGAUACGCUGGUCAAGUGAAAGUCUUGUUGCAGGAUCGUAAGAUUGGUAGUUAAUCAUGUAGAAAAGUUUGUGUAGAUACAUUGUUGUUUUGCACGUUUGUGUUGUUUAAUUCAAACUAUAUACUGGUCACACACUGGACACUACCUGUCUGGGAAGCUUUAUUUGUAUAGUAAUUUACUUACCUUGUUAGUGCUGGGUGCUCAAGUAAUUGAUUUCUGGGGAGUUAACAAGUUUUGGGGGGUGGGGCAAAAUGUAUAGUUAUGUACACAUUUUGUUUCAUGAUGCUUAUAAAGUAACAGCCCAUUUCAUUGUUUUUGGAUUCAUAAAGCAGAUAUUGAUAUUUUUCUACAAUAUAUUUAAGUCACAAAUUAUUAGUUAACAUUCCAUGGAUAGGGUCUUACAAGGGUUAACAGGAGAUUGUGCUGUGGUUAAUAGCACGACACUUAAUCAAAAUGAUUUAUGUAAGGGGAGUUUAGGAAUGUGUUGAAGAUUUUCAUUGACAGAAAAGAAAUAUUAUUCUGGAGUGUAUGUUGAAUGCACUCUGUAGACGAUGCUUACGUUCGAGUUGUUCUGACAUGCUGUUCUGUAGAGUCCAGUGAGCAGUGUGUGAAUUGUGUUUUCCAUUGAUUUUAUCAGAUGUGUAUACCUUUGAAGUAUCUUGUGGUCAAUAUUAUUUAACAUUACUUACAGUGUUUUGUAUUGUGAUUUUAAUAUGAUUUUAUCUUUUAUUUUAUCAAUGUUGAUUUGUUCAUAAUGUAAUGCCACACAUGUAGACUUUCCUCUCCACAUGGAGUGACACCUGCGGAAUCGUCUACCACAUGAUUGGAUCUCAAAGAAUCAUAUUUCGGUAAGGGUUCCCAAGGACUAAUACUGAAGUUUCUAGAUUUGGGUGGUUGUUUGGAGGUUGCGAGACUUGUGAUGUGGUAGAUGGUUCUGGUGGGUGUGAUUGUUCCAUACUGUACAUUGUCGAACAUAUCUGUCAUCAUUGUCAUGUUAUAUUGCAGCUUUAUUUGCAAUUAAAUAUGAGAAUUCUCAA